Molecule: ribosomal RNA, 253 nt
Filed under: uncultured bacterium
Lineage: Bacteria
Description: partial 16S ribosomal RNA
Rfam family: Bacterial small subunit ribosomal RNA
Source: RNAcentral
UACGUAGGGUGCGAGCGUUAAUCGGAAUUACUGGGCGUAAAGCGUGCGCAGGCGGUUUUGUAAGCCAGAUGUGAAAGCCCCGGGCUUAACCUGGGAAUGGCAUUUGGGACUGCAAGGCUUGAGUGCGGCAGAGGAGACUGGAAUUCCUGGUGUAGCAGUGAAAUGCGUAGAUAUCAGGAAGAACACCCGUGGCGAAGGCGGCUCUCUGGGACGUGACUGACGCUGAGACGCGAAAGCGUGGGGAGCGAACAGG